CACGUAGGGCGCAAGCGUUGUCCGGAAUUACUGGGCGUAAAGCGUGCGUAGGUGGUCUGUUAAGUCUGAUGUGAAAGCCCUGGGCUCAACCUGGGAAUUGCAUUGGAUACUGGCAGGCUAGAGUGCGGUAGAGGGUAGUGGAAUUCCCGGUGUAGCAGUGAAAUGCGUAGAGAUCGGGAGGAACACCAGUGGCGAAGGCGACUACCUGGACCAGCACUGACACUGAGGCACGAAAGCGUGGGGAGCAAACAGG
This 253-nucleotide ribosomal RNA is filed under the name uncultured bacterium. RNAcentral's name for it is "partial 16S ribosomal RNA". It matches the Rfam family "Bacterial small subunit ribosomal RNA", at positions 524 to 776 of the family's 1533-position model. The record is from RNAcentral.